This 465-nucleotide ribosomal RNA is filed under the name uncultured bacterium. RNAcentral's name for it is "partial 16S ribosomal RNA". It matches the Rfam family "Bacterial small subunit ribosomal RNA", at positions 338 to 795 of the family's 1533-position model. The record is from RNAcentral.
CCUACGGGAGGCAGCAGUGGGGAAUAUUGCGCAAUGGGCGAAAGCCUGACGCAGCGACGCCGCGUGAGGGAUGAAGGUCUUCGGAUCGUAAACCUCUGUCAGCAGGGAAGAACGGUCACUGUGCUAAUCAGCAGUGAAUUGACGGUACCUGCAAAGGAAGCACCGGCUAACUCCGUGCCAGCAGCCGCGGUAAUACGGAGGGUGCGAGCGUUAAUCGGAAUUACUGGGCGUAAAGCGCUCGUAGGCGGUAUGUCAAGUCAAGGGUGAAAGCCCCGCGCUCAACGUGGGAACUGCCUGUGAAACUGGCAAACUGGAGUGUGUGAGAGGAUAGUGGAAUGCCAGGUGUAGGAGUGAAAUCCGUAGAUAUCUGGAGGAACAUCAGUGGCGAAGGCGACUAUCUGGCACAUAACUGACGCUGAGGAGCGAAAGCGUGGGUAGCAAACAGGAUUAGAUACCCUAGUAGUC